AACAGGGGAGCUUGCUCCCGCUGACGACCGGCGCACGGGUGCGUAACGCGUAUACAAUCUACCUUUUGCUGAGGGAUAGCCCAGAGAAAUUUGGAUUAAUACCUCAUAGUAUGCAUUGAUGGCAUCAUUAAUAUAUUAAAGGUUACGGCAAAAGAUGAGUAUGCGUUCUAUUAGCUAGAUGGUGUGGUAACGGCACACCAUGGCAACGAUAGAUAGGGGCCCUGAGAGGGGGAUCCCCCACACUGGUACUGAGACACGGACCAGACUCCUACGGGAGGCAGCAGUGAGGAAUAUUGGGCAAUGGAGGCAACUCUGACCCAGCCAUGCCGCGUGCAGGAAGACUGCCCUAUGGGUUGUAAACUGCUUUUAUACAGGAAGAAACACUCCCUCGUGAGGGAGCUUGACGGUACUGUAAGAAUAAGGAUCGGCUAACUCCGUGCCAGCAGCCGCGGUAAUACGGAGGAUCCAAGCGUUAUCCGGAAUCAUUGGGUUUAAAGGGUCCGUAGGUGGAUAAUUAAGUCAGAGGUGAAAUCCUGCAGCUCAACUGUAGAAUUGCCUUUGAUACUGGUUAUCUUGAGUUAUUAUGAAGUAGUUAGAAAAUGUAGUGUAGCGGUGAAAUGCAUAGAUAUUACAUAGAAUACCAAUUGCGAAGGCAGAUUACUAAUAAUAUACUGACACUGAUGGACGAAAGCGUGGGGAGCGAACAGGAUUAGAUACCCUGGUAGUCCACGCCGUAAACGAUGGUCACUAGCUGUUUGGACUUCGGUCUGAGUG
RNAcentral lists this ribosomal RNA (774 nucleotides) under uncultured marine bacterium. RNAcentral describes it as "bacterial SSU rRNA". It matches the Rfam family "Bacterial small subunit ribosomal RNA", at positions 70 to 845 of the family's 1533-position model. The record is from RNAcentral.